Odontomachus brunneus is the source of this 1084-nucleotide long non-coding RNA. RefSeq lists it as uncharacterized. The record is from RefSeq and is a predicted model, not a curated record. Lineage: Eukaryota; Metazoa; Arthropoda; Insecta; Hymenoptera; Formicidae. The transcript has 2 exons.
CGCUCGGCUGGCUGGUGCGCUGCUAGAUUGUGUAAACGGAAAAUUUAAUUCUAAUAUCAAGUUACGAAAUCUGAUUCAACGAUGGAAAACGACAAAAUUUAGCACUCCCGACUAUGAAUUGGCGAAAUUGGAUGAAAUUUACAAGAUACCGUCCCGUUUUCCCUAUUGCGUGAAAUUACGUUAGCCGCGCGAUUGCGAUUGAAAUCAAUACGAACGGAAAGGAGGAAACGAGAUAUAACGGCGAAAGACAGUGUGCAGGGGCGAGGAAGAUGCUAAAAGGAGGUCACGGUAUAUAGCAUGAGAGCGAAACUGGAGCAGACAGGGAAAGAUAUCUGUUCGUUUUAGCCGCAGCUUCUCUACUUGUUCGAUCCUUCUCCUUCGUCCUCCAGCCUCCGAAGGUGUAUUCAUUUUAUUUCAAGUGCAGAAGAUGCAAAGAGAUAAAACUAAACUGUACUGAUUCGUGCCGAGAAGAAACGGCAGGAAGCCGCGCUUAAAAAGAAUCGUACAUUUUCAGCGCACGAGGAAUUGUAAACGAAGCUUUACGUCUCGUUUCAGCAUAAUGAUCAAUUUCACGCAAGUCAGUGUGACGUAUAGCCAAGAACGUCAAAUUGGGUAUGUUGUUGCACUCAAUUUGGCAGAUAGGACUGCUUUUACGAAGCGGAGAAGGUGAAUUUCACGGAACUUUUCAGCGACCAGAUCUCCUUAUAGCGUGCCAUGAAGUAAGCACGCGAGAUCGUUCGCACGGUUUGUCAGUUGGUGCCGGAAGAAGCCUCCACCACGCGGAAUAGCAUCCUCAUACAUAACACUGUGGACUAGAGCAAACGUAAGAAGGCCCCGGGACGCAAGGUCAAGGUUAAGUACAUGGCGAGCAAGUAUAGCGCGUACUUUAAUCGAUACCACAUCGUCAGCGCCACCGUGGCCGUUCGUCGGCGUCGCGACGACCGCUGCGUCGCCCACAAAGAAGCUCCAGGCGAAAGUUCAUCCUCGGAGCAACAAUCCUCGAUAUGCGAUUCCAAGCAUCGAAGUGUUAUCGAUUUGCGCCACAAAGAUCGACAAAAAUAUCAGGAGAUACAUGAAAAGGCCA